AGAGCGAACGCUGGCGGCAGGCUUAACACAUGCAAGUCGAGCGGGCGUAGCAAUACGUCAGCGGCAGACGGGUGAGUAACGCGUGGGAACGUACCUUUUGGUUCGGAACAACACAGGGAAACUUGUGCUAAUACCGGAUAAGCCCUUACGGGAAAGAUUUAUCGCCAAAGAUCGGCCCGCGUCUGAUUAGCUAGUUGGUGGGGUAAUGGCCUACCAAGGCGACAAUCCGUAGCUGGUCUGAGAGGACGACCAGCCACACCGGAACUGAGACACGGUCCGGACUCCUACGGGAGGCAGCAGUGGGGAAUAUUGGACAAUGGGGGAAACCCUGAUCCAGCGACGCCGCGUGUGUGAAGAAGGCCUGCGGGUUGUAAAGCACUUUUAGUGGGGACAAAAAGCUACGGAUUAAUACUCUGUGGUCUUGAUUUAACCCAAAGAAAAGCACCGGCUAACUCUGCGCCAGCAGCCGC
Molecule: ribosomal RNA, 470 nt
Filed under: uncultured bacterium
Lineage: Bacteria
Description: SSU rRNA
Rfam family: Bacterial small subunit ribosomal RNA
Source: RNAcentral